RNAcentral lists this ribosomal RNA (847 nucleotides) under Boeremia exigua var. exigua. RNAcentral's name for it is "eukaryotic LSU rRNA". The stretch from base 1 to 188 matches the Rfam family "Eukaryotic small subunit ribosomal RNA", at positions 1646 to 1831 of the family's 1831-position model. Lineage: Eukaryota; Fungi; Ascomycota; Dothideomycetes; Pleosporales; Didymellaceae. The record is from RNAcentral.
UACGUCCCUGCCCUUUGUACACACCGCCCGUCGCUACUACCGAUUGAAUGGCUCAGUGAGGCCUCCGGACUGGCUCGAAGAGGUUGGCAACGACCACUUCGAGCCGGAAAGUUCGUCAAACUCGGUCAUUUAGAGGAAGUAAAAGUCGUAACAAGGUUUCCGUAGGUGAACCUGCGGAAGGAUCAUUACCUAGAGUUGUAGGCUUUGCCUACCAUCUCUUACCCAUGUCUUUUGAGUACCCUCGUUUCCUCGGCGGGUCCGCCCGCCGAUUGGACAAACUUAAACCCUUUGUAAUUGAAAUCAGCGUCUGAAAAAACAUAAUAGUUACAACUUUCAACAACGGAUCUCUUGGUUCUGGCAUCGAUGAAGAACGCAGCGAAAUGCGAUAAGUAGUGUGAAUUGCAGAAUUCAGUGAAUCAUCGAAUCUUUGAACGCACAUUGCGCCCCUUGGUAUUCCAUGGGGCAUGCCUGUUCGAGCGUCAUUUGUACCUUCAAGCUCUGCUUGGUGUUGGGUGUUUGUCUCGCCUUUGCGUGUAGACUCGCCUUAAAACAAUUGGCAGCCGGCGUAUUGAUUUCGGAGCGCAGUACAUCUCGCGCUUUGCACUCAUAACGACGACGUCCAAAAAGUACUUUUUACACUCUUGACCUCGGAUCAGGUAGGGAUACCCGCUGAACUUAAGCAUAUCAAUAAGCGGAGGAAAAGAAACCAACAGGGAUUGCCCUAGUAACGGCGAGUGAAGCGGCAACAGCUCAAAUUUGAAAUCUGGCGUCUUUGGCGUCCGAGUUGUAAUUUGCAGAGGGCGCUUUGGCAUUGGCAGCGGUCCAAGUUCCUUGGAACAGGACGUCA